This 597-nucleotide ribosomal RNA is filed under the name uncultured bacterium. RNAcentral describes it as "bacterial SSU rRNA". It matches the Rfam family "Bacterial small subunit ribosomal RNA", at positions 107 to 675 of the family's 1533-position model. The record is from RNAcentral.
UGCGUAACGCGUAUGCAAUCUACCUUUUACAGAGGGAUAGCCCAGAGAAAUUUGGAUUAAUACCUCAUAGUAUAAUUGAAUGGCAUCAUGUUGAAAUUAUUAAAGUCACCAACGGUAAAAGAUGAGCCAUGCGUCCCAUUAGCUAGUUGGUAAUGGUAACGGCUUACCAAGGCGACGAUGGGUAGGGGUCCUGAGAGGGAGAUCCCCCUAGAACUGGUACUGAGACACGGACCAGACUCCUACGGGAGGCAGCAUGUGAGGAAUAUUGGUCAAUGGGCGCAAGCCUGAACCAGUCCUAUGCCCGCGUGCAGGAUGACUGGUCCUAUGGAUUGUAAACUGCUUUUAUACAGGAAGGAAACACUCCCUCGUGAGGGAGCUUGGACGGUACUGUAGGAAUAAAGGAUCGGCUAACUCCGUGCCAGCAGCCAGCGGUAAUACGGAGGAUCCUAAGCGUUAUCCCGGAAUCAUUGGGUUUAAAGGGUCCGUAGGCGGUCUAAUAAGUCAGUGGUGAAAUCCUUCCGCUUAACUGGGAGAACGGCCAUUGAUACUUGUUGAAGGACUUGAAUUGAAUUAGGAAGUAACUAGGAAUAUGUAGUG